ACGCUGGCGGCGUGCCUAACACAUGCAAGUCGAGCGAGGAGAUCCUCGGGAUGAUCCUAGCGGCGGACGGGUGAGUAACACGUGGGCAACCUGCCUCAUAGAGAGGAAUAGCCUUCCGAAAGGGAGAUUAAUACCUCAUAACAUUGCAGUUUCGCAUGGAACAGCAAUUAAAGGAGCAAUCCGCUAUGAGAUGGGCCCGCGGCGCAUUAGCCAGUUGGUGAGGUAACGGCUCACCAAGGCGACGAUGCGUAGCCGACCUGAGAGGGUGAUCGGCCACAUUGGGACUGAGACACGGCCCAGACUCCUACGGGAGGCAGCAGUGGGGAAUAUUGCACAAUGGGGGAAACCCUGAUGCAGCCAACGCCGCGUGAGUGAUGACGGCCUUCGGGUUGUAAAGCUCUGUCUUCAGGGACGAUAAUGACGGUACCUGAGGAGGAAGCCACGGCUAACUACGUGCCAGCAGCAGC
Molecule: ribosomal RNA, 467 nt
Filed under: uncultured bacterium
Lineage: Bacteria
Description: bacterial SSU rRNA
Rfam family: Bacterial small subunit ribosomal RNA
Source: RNAcentral